Molecule: ribosomal RNA, 630 nt
Filed under: uncultured delta proteobacterium
Lineage: Bacteria; Deltaproteobacteria
Description: bacterial SSU rRNA
Rfam family: Bacterial small subunit ribosomal RNA
Source: RNAcentral
CGUACGAGAACUCCUUAGCUUGCUAAGGAUAGUAAAGUGGCGCACGGGUGAGUAACGCGUGAGUAAUCUACCCUGGAAAUCGGGAUAACAUUGCGAAAGUGAUGCUAAUACCGAAUGAUAUCUAAUUUGCUUUGGCUUUUUAGAUCAAAGGUGGCCUCUAUUUAUAAGCUACUGUUUUGGGAUGAGCUCGCGUACCAUUAGCUUGUUGGUAGGGUAAUGGCCUACCAAGGCUACGAUGGUUAGCUGGUCUGAGAGGAUGAUCAGCCACACUGGAACUGACACACGGUCCAGACUCCUACGGGAGGCAGCAGUGAGGAAUUUUGCGCAAUGGGGGAAACCCUGACGCAGCAACGCCGCGUGAGUGAUGAAGGCUUUCGGGUCGUAAAGCUCUGUCAAGUGGGAAGAAAAAGGAAAGUUAUAAUAUGACUUUCCUCUGACGGUACCACUAAAGGAAGCACCGGCUAACUCCGUGCCAGCAGCCGCGGUAAUACGGGGGGUGCAAGCGUUAUUCGGAAUUAUUGGGCGUAAAGGGCGCGCAGGCGGUCGCUUAAGUCAGAUGUGAAAGCCCGGGGCUUAACCUCGGAAGUGCAUUUGAAACUAAGUGACUUGAGUAUGGGAGAGGGAAGUGGA